This 8253-nucleotide long non-coding RNA is filed under the name Citrus x clementina. RNAcentral's name for it is "Citrus clementina (C. clementina) long non-coding RNA (CCLE_LNC001758)". The record is from RNAcentral. Lineage: Eukaryota; Viridiplantae; Streptophyta; Magnoliopsida; Sapindales; Rutaceae.
CAAUAAAAUUCAUGGCCUGCUAAUCUAUCAAGCAUUUGGUCGAUAAAUGGUAAAGAAAAAAUGGUCUUUACGUGUGACAGAAUUCAACUUUCUAUAAUCAAUACAAACACACUAUCUUAUAGUUACUCUAGUGGGUAUCAAUUCAUUAUCAGUAUUGGUAACUAUUGUGACUCCUGAUUUUUUGGGAACAACUUGUACAGGACUGACCCAUGAACUAUCAGAAAUGGGGUAAAUGAUACAUGUAUCUAAUAACUUAAGGACUUCAGUUCUAACAACUUCUUUCAUGUUAGAAUUUAACCGACGUUGCAUUUCCCUAAUAGGUUUAGCAUUUUAAUCAAGGUGAAUGUAAUGCAUGCAGUCUACUGGGUUUAUACCUUUUAUGUCCACUAUGGUCCAUCCUAAUGCUCUUUUGUGCUCUUUUAAAACAUCCAACAACUUACCUUUUUGUUUGUCGUUUAGGGAUGAUGAGAUGAUUACCGGUAGAGUGCUUUCUUCUCCUAAAAAUGCAUAUUCCAAUGUGUUGGGUAAUGGUUUAAGCUUGAGUUUCGGUGGUGAUUCUGAUAAUGGGGUGAGUUUAUUCUCUGAUGGUGCUAGUUGUUCAACUCUUGACUUCCAUUUAUUAAUGUCCAUGGAUGGUGCUGAGUCAAGUAGAGCAUUGACCUCAUUUACCGAUCUGUUAAUAUCAAAAUCAAAACCAAAGUGAGUUAAACAUGUUUGUAAAGGAUCAUCACUAAGGUUUGAAACAAAAGUGUCAUCAACUAAUGCUUCAAUUAAAUCCACAUCAACAAUUCCAUCAUCUGUAUUGUGAGGUUGUUUGGCAAUGUUGAAGAUGUUCAGCUCCAUAAUUAUGUUGUCGAAGGACAACUACAUAUUGCCAGUCCUGCAUUGAAUGUGAGCAUCCGCAGUUGCCAAGAACGGUCGACCUAGAAUAAUGGGGAUGUGCUUCCUUGAAUCCUGUAUUGGUUGAGUGCCAAUUACAAUGAAAUCAACAGGAAAAUAAAACUUGUCUACCUGGAUAAGCACGUCAUCUACAAUACCACGAGGUAUUUUCGUGGACCGAUCUGCAAGCUAUAACACCACUGGAGUUGGGUGUAAUUCUCCCAGUUCAAGUUUCACGAAUACAGAGUAAGGCAACAAAUUUACACUAGCUCAUAAAUCCAACAAAGUAUUCUCAAUUGUGUGGUUCCCUAUGCUAUAUGAGAUAGUAGGGGAGUCUGGUGUUGUGCAAAUUUUAAUGUACUCGCAAGCGCACGAAUCUAUUGUAGUAUAGACUAAUGGUGACGAGUGUCGAUCCCACGAGGAGGUGGAUUUUAAUUGUGUAGAAUUAAUUUUGUAAAUGGGUGAUUGGAUUUGUGGUGGAAAUGAUUUGGGAUAUGCUAAAACUUAAAUUAAAAUGGCGAGAAUAAAUUCUAAAAUUGGAAUUGCAAUGGAGAGAAUAAAUUGAAGAGAAAAUCUAUUAAAUUGACGUACUUGGGUAUCUGGAUCCGUAUCAACAUGCAUCAUGGGCUAAAUAAUCCGUAUUAAUGCCAAUUAAAUCAUGAGGGGGGAAUCCACACCUCAUGAACCACGCUCUAAUCAAUAUGGUGCUAAGGGCUUAUCGUGCCAAAUAAUAAUAACUUUAUACUAGAGAGCCGGUGUAACCAAGGCGGUACUAGACAAGAUUAGUAUUAUUUGUCGACGAGAAGUCAAAACAUCCACAAAAACUAGAGGGGAAGAGAAAAUAAAUUUACCAAAUUAAGCCCAUGACACAUGUUGAGACUUCACCUUCAACCCAAGCUUGAAAGAAAAUUAGCCACUCAUAAUUGAACUAGGGGCAAAAUGAGAAUUUAUUAAAAUACGAAGAAAAUACAAGAUGGAGAGGGAAUUACAGAAAAUGGAUCCCAAAAAUGGAUUCAGAGAUAUCAAAUUAGGGGGGAGAGGCCCCCUUUUUAUAGAUACAUGGAGUAAAUCAUGGCCAUCGGAUUAAAAACAGUUUGGACGCUCAGGAUUGCGCCACGUCAUCAGUCAACAGUCCACGGUUUGACCACGCGGAUGAACAGUAACACGGUUUGACCCGACUUUGAACAGUAACGCGGUUUGACCCGGAUGAACAGUAACGCGGUUUGGUUGAAAAUAAUCCUGUGUGAUGCAUGCACCGUACGCGAGAUUUUUCGUCCACUGAUAUGCUGCCACGUCACCAUCAACAGUACAUAAGAAUUUUAGUCCAACAGGAUCGUGACACCUCAUCAGUCAAUGCCACAUCAUCGGUCAAUGCCACGUCAUCAUCCGUCUAUGUGAAUAGUGUCGUGAACAGUAACUUAUACAGUACCGUACACGUGAAUAGUACCGUACAUGUGAAUAGUGACAUUUUUCCUUUUAUGCUCCUCCUAAGGUUUUUGACCGUCCUGAGUUCAAAAGUGAUGUCCGUUUUGCCGUCUGAUUUCUCCUUUAUUGUGAAAUGACUAUAAUGCCCCUAAAAUACAUAAAAUACUUAAUUAAAAUAAAACACAUGUAAUUAAAUCACAAGAAGGUUAAAUACAUAAAAGUAAGGGUUGUUAGUAAGACUUGAAAUGUAAAAUGACGAUUUUCUCCUUUAUAAAUAUGCAUUUUCUAACACUCAACAUCUGGGUCUUUGCAUUUUAGAGGAAUUUUCUGUUGGAGUAUAAAACUAACGUUUUCUGUUAAAAAUGUCUUCUUUUGAAUAUGAAUGUUUCUCUUUUUAGUACAAAGGUCUUUAAGAAAAUUGGCAUAAGAUGGAACUUGCUUUAUAGCAUCAAGUAAAGAGAUGUUAACACUUACCUGUUUGAAGAUUUCAAGAAUCUCACCUGUGGAUUUUCAUUUCUUUCCUUUAGCUAACCUCUAAGGAAAUGGAGCUUUGAGAACGUAUUCUCAUGGUUUGGUUUCUUCUCUCUCCUCCGGUGAUGAGUCUUCAACACUCACUGGUACAAUUUGAUUUUCUUUUAUCACCGGCAUCUCCCAUUUGUUGUCGACUUCUUUUCUUUUUCGUAAGGUCAUGACUGCUUUGACCUCUCCAUGCUGUUGUGGUGAACUGGUACUUGCUUCAUGUACUCCUUUAGGAUUAGGCACUGGUUGACUUGGAAACUUGCCUUUCUCAACAGUCAUUGUCAAGGUCUGAACUGAAGAAGCAAGUUGUCCCACCAUCUUCUCCAGGCUUGAAACUGAUUGGGCUUGCGAGUUGAAGCCUGCUCUCAACUCAUUUCGUAGUCCAUCAAUGGUGCGGUUCUGUUGCUCAAUCGUGGAGUGAGUAAUAUUCUUGAAAUUCUGGAAUGCAUCCUCCCAUGGUUUGGGUUAAGAAUAGUUCUGGUUUUGAUUGUAUAGUCUAAAUGGUGGCUGAGAGGCUUGAGGAACUUGAGGAAUUUGUUGCACUGGUGGAGCUAGAGCUGCUGGUCCAUUCUGUUGGAAUCCUUGAGAUCAUAAAAAAUUAGGGUGGUCUCUCCAUCCAGGGUUAUAUAUGUCAGUGUCAAAUAACGCGUAAAGCACGUGGCUCGCAAGUCAAAAAUAAAACAGUAAAAAGGAAAAAGCAAACAGUAAUAAAAUUAUUAAAGACAAUAAUGCAAACAAUAAGACAAUAGUGAAAUAAAAUAACAAUAAAGUAAAAGGAUAUUUACAGGUAGUUGCGACUGUGUCUCACAUCUUCCUCUGGUUUUACGUCCAGAAACGGCUUGAACGCCCUCUAUGGGUCGAGGAUAGGCUUCCUAUCCAGUUUUCUUAUAAACUGGCAAACAGGGUCGUUUAUAGUCAGAUUCCCGAGACUAUAUCGUGCAUGCUCUUUCUGGAAUAAUGGCCAUAACUGGAGAAUCGCUCCUUGCACAUAUCCACUGGGAUGCGUUUCAAGAGACAAAAGGAUAUCAUCCAAUGACUCCUUAUUCAAGCCAUCCCUAAUGAAUUGAAUCUUAUCUUCCCUGUUAUCAGACACCAUUCCUAAAGAACAUGGGUUUUUAUUGCAACUCAUUCUAGCACACUUAUGACAAGCAACAGAAAUUCUUCGAGCUCGUCGUUUUCUUGCAUAAUUUCCUUUACCACAACCAGGCAUGUAUGCAAUAAAUUUUGGAGGUAACUCACCUGCCGAUCGUACUUUAGCCUCGAUUAACCAACGGAUGUCAGCAGGUAUGUUAUUCCUCAUGAGUAAUCGCAUGCGUUCGGACCGAGCUUUAUAGAUUGUAAGGAGGGCAUUCUGAGGAAGUGAAGGGAAUCGCUUGUGAAGCUUUGCUAGAAUCUCGUUUCUGUCCAUACUUUCGCCUCAGAAUAUCAGUUAUUAUGGGAAACUGAAGUAACCGACUUGAUUGUCACGGAGUACCGUUAUCCGCCACUUCACCGAGGUCACAAACUAAAGCACACAAAUAGAAAAACAAAUUAAAACACACAAAGAAAAUUAAAAUCGUCCUCUUAUUGAAUUUACCUCAAGCUCCAACUGGAUGUCGUAAACACUUCUCUCAAUGUCUCUGAGUUGGCGUUCUAAACCCUCAACAUAGGCUACUAACUCUGGUGGUUGUAGAGUCCAAAUGCGUUGUGUUUUACAAAAUUGAAUCUGCCUUUUGAGAUGAGUUUUGACACGUUGAAGUGGUUUAAGAAUGUUCAGGAGGAACGGUCUAAGUAUGAGACUCAUGAUUAAAAAUGAUAAGAGAAAACUUAAUGGUAAAAUAAACACACUUAUGCAAAAACAAUUUCAAUUAGCAAAAGAAUAAUAAUAAAAAAGAAAGAAAGAAAAAUCAAAUCAACGAAAAGAAAAAAAAAUCAAUUCAAAUUUGGUGGGUCACUCAAAUUUAUCUCGAUGUCUUCUCCAUGUGGUUGGUAUUCUAGAUAUGACUUUAAUCUUUGACCAUUAACUUUAAAUGUGACACCGUUCUUUGGGUCCUUAAUUUCAAUUGCCCCAUGUGGAAAAACAGUAUGAACAAUAAAUGGGCCAGACCAACGAGAGCGUAACUUACCUGGGAACAGGUGCAAGCGAGAAUUGAAUAAAAGCACUUUCUGACCUGGAGUGAACGAUUUUCUCAUAAUUUGCUUAUCAUGGAAGAUUUUCAUUCGUUGCUUGUAAAUCUUGGCAUUUUCGUACGCGUCAUUGCGAAUUUCUUCAAGUUCUGCCAGCUGUAAUCUUCUUUCUGAGCUGGCUUGCUGCAUGUCAAAAUUGAAUUUCUUGAUGGCCCAAUAUGCACGAUGCUCGAGUUCCACAGGUAGGUGGCAAGCUUUUCCAUACACUAGCCUGUAGGGUGACAUCCCAAUCGGGGUCUUGAAAGCCGUUCUAUAUGCCCAUAAUGCAUCAUCAAGUCUUAAUGACCAAUCUUUCCUGUCUGGCCUCACCGUUUUUUCUAAUAUGUGCUUUAUUUCUCGAUUGGAUAUCUCAACUUGGCCACUGGUUUGCGGAUGAUACGGAGUUGCCACUUUGUGUGUGAUUGAAUACUUUGUCAAAAGAGCUUUGAAUGCUUUGUUACAAAAGUGGGCACCACCAUCACUGAUUAUCGCUCGAGGGAAUCCAAAGCGUGAAACAAUAUUGCUUUUCAAAAAUGCUAUCACCACCUUGUGAUCAUUGGUCCUACAUGGAAUUGCUUCUACCCAUUUUGAUACAUAGUCAACAGCAACCAAUAUGUAUUGAUGACCAAAAGACGGGGGAAAGGGUCCCAUGAAGUCGAUACCCCAUACGUCAAAAAUCUCAACCACUAAAAUUGGAUUUAGUGGCAUCAUGUUCCUUCGUGUAAUGCUUCUCAUUCGUUGACACCUAUCACAUGAAGAACAGAAAGUGUAAGCAUCUCGAAAUAUAGUUGGCCAAUAAAAACCACAUUGUAAAACUUUAGUCGCGGUUUUCUUAGCACUGAAAUGGCCUCCACAAGCUUGUUCAUGGCAGAAUGAAAGGAUAUUCUGAAUUUCACUUUCUGGGACACAUCGUCUACAAUUUGAUCUGCACAAUACUUGAAUAAAUAUGGGUCAUCCCAAAAGAAAUUCUUUAUUUCUGCAAAGAAUUUAGCCUUGUCUUGCUUGGUCCAAUGCUCUGGAAGUUUACCUGUAACAAGAUAAUUAACUAUAUCAGCAUACCAAGGUAAUACUUCCACAUUCAUUAAUUGUUCAUCUGGAAAUGACUCAUUCAAUGGUAAUGAUUCUGUAAUUGUGUCAAAAUGGAGACGAGAGAGGUGGUCCGCCACAACAUUUUCUGUCCCUUUUUUAUCUUUGAAUUCCAAGUCAAAUUCCUGCAAAAGUAACACCCAACGAAUUAGUCUGGCUUUUGCAUCUUUCUUUGUGAGAAGAUAUUUAAGAGCAGCAUGAUCCGUGAAUAUAAUUAUUUUACAACCAAUGAGAUAUGAUCGAAAUUUUUCCAAUGCAAACACUACUGCUAGCAUUUCUUUUUCAGUAGUUGAAUAGUUCAACUGUGCAUCAUUUAAUGUCAUACUAGCAUAGUAAAUAACGUGGGGAAUUCGAUCAACUCUUUGUCCUAAUACUGCUCCUACUGCAUAAUCAGAUGCAUCACACAUUAGCUCAAAUGGUAAGCUCCAGUUUGGGGCCUGAAUGAUGGGUGAUGAUGUCAACAACUGUUUUAAUUUUUCAAACGCCAUAAGACAUGAAUCAUUAAAGAUAAAAGGUACAUCCUUAGCAAGUAAAUUGCAUAAGGGUCUAGAAACUUUGCUAAAAUCUUUAAUGAAACGUCUAUAGAAACCAGCAUGCCCAAGGAAAGAUCUUACUUCUCUGACUGUUUUGGGUGGAGGAAGAUUAGAAAUGAGAUCCACCUUGGUUUUGUCAACCUCAAUACCUUUGCUCGAAAUGAUGUGACCGAGAACUAUACCUUGUUUUACCAUAAAAUGGCAUUUCUCCCAAUUUAAGACCAAGUUCUUCUCGACACAUCUCUGCAGAACUAGUGUUAGAUGAUGUAAACAUUGAUCAAACGAGUCACCAAAGACAGAAAAGUCAUCCAUAAAGACUUCAAGGAAUCGUUCAACCAUAUCAGAAAAAAUGCUCAACAUGCAUCAUUGAAAUGUAGCAGGUGCAUUACAUAAUCCAAAUGGCAUUCUCCUAUAUGCAAAUGUGCCAAAAGGGCAAGUGAAAGUAGUUUUCUCUUGAUCUUUUGGUGCUAUGGGAAUCUGAUUAUAUCCUGAGUAACCAUCUAAAAAGCAAUAAAAUUCAUGGCCUGCUAAUCUAUCAAGCAUUUGAUCAAUAAAUGGUAAAGGAAAAUGGUCUUUACGUGUGACAGAAUUCAAUUUUCUAUAAUCAAUGCAUACACGCCAUCCUGUAGUCACUCUAGUGGGUAUCAAUUCAUUAUCAGCAUUGGUAACUACUGUGACUCCUGACUUUUUAGGGACAACUUGUACAGGACUGACCCAUGAACUAUCAGAAAUUGGGUAAAUGAUACCUGCAUCUAAUAGCUUAAGGACCUCAGUUCUAACAACUUCUUUCAUGUUAGGAUUUAACCGACGUUGCAUCUCCCUAGUAGUUUUAGCAUUUUCAUCAAGGUGAAUGUAAUGCAUGCAAUCUACUGGGUUUAUACCUUUAAUGUCUGUUAUGGUCCAUCCUAAUGCUCCUUUGUACUCUUUUAAAACAUCCAACAACUUACCUUUUUGUUCAUCAUUGAGGGAUGAUGAGAUGAUUACCGGCAGAGUACUUUCUUUUCCCAAAAAUGCAUAUUCCAAAGUGUUGGGCAAUGGUUUGAGCUCGAGUUUCGGUGGUGAUUCUGAUGAUGGAAUGAGUUGCUUCUCUGAUGGUGCUAGUUGUUCAACUCUUGACUUCCAUUUAUUAGUAUCCAUAGAUGGUGCUGAGUCAAGCAGGGCGUUGACCUCAUCAACCGAUCUGUCAAUAUCAAAAUCAAAACCAAAGUGAGUUAAACAUGUUUGUAAAGGAUCAUCACUAAGGUUUGAAACAAAAGUAUCAUCAACUAAUGCUUCAAUUAAAUCCACAUCAACAAUUCCAUCAUCUGCACUGUGAGGUUGUUUGGCAAUGUUGAAGAUGUUCAGCUCCAUAGUCAUGUUGCCGAAAGACAACUGCAUAUUUCCAGUCCUGCAUUGAAUGUGAGCAUCCGCAGUUGCCAAGAAAGGUCGGCCUAGAAUAAUAGGGAUGUGCUUCCUUGAAUCCUGUAUUGGUUGAGUGUCAAUUACAAUGAAGUCAACAGGAAAAUAAAAUUUGUCUACCUGGAUAAGCACGUCCUCCACAAUACCACGAGGUAUUUUCGUGGACCGAUCUGCAAGCUGUAACACCACUGGAGUUGGGUGUAAUUCUCCCAGUCCAAGUUUCACGAAUACAGAGUAAGGCAAAAGAUUUACACUAGCUCCUAAAUCC